This 301-nucleotide ribosomal RNA is filed under the name uncultured bacterium. RNAcentral's name for it is "partial 16S ribosomal RNA". It matches the Rfam family "Bacterial small subunit ribosomal RNA", at positions 509 to 807 of the family's 1533-position model. The record is from RNAcentral.
CAGUAGCCACGGGAAUACGAAGGGUGCAAGCGUUACUCGGAAUUACUGGGCGUAAAGCGUGCGUAGGUGGUGGUUUAAGUCCGUUGUGAAAGCCCUGGGCUCAACCUGGGAAUUGCAGUGGAUACUGGGUCACUAGAGUGUGGUAGAGGAUAGUGGAAUUUCCGGUGUAGCAGUGUAAUGCGUAGAGAUCGGAAGGAACAUCUGUGGCGAAGGCGACUAUCUGGGCCAACACUGACACUGAGGCACGAAAGCGUGGGGAGCAAACAGGAUUAGAUACCCCUGUAGUCCCUGUCUCUUAUAC